GGUUACCAUCAUUACAUCAUUCAACAACAUGCUUUACCUAACACCAACCCCAACCAUGUUGAAUUUCAUAUUAUAAUGGGCCACCAUGUUCACCAACUACUUAUUUUUCCCCCAUUGCAUUUGAAAGACCUAAUUCCAAGAAGAAAGAUCAAGCCACUCAACUCAGCAUUGCCCUUCAGAUCUUUGUGGUAUUUUUCACGAUGUUUUAACUCUUUCAAGGGAUCUUCAUAUGAUAAUUUUUUUUCAUGUAUGUCUCUAGAUUAGGCAAUCAAGCUGCUUAUAAAUUUGCUAGUUGACAAAAAAAAAGAAAAAAAAAGCCUAGCAUGGGACUAUUUCUAUGUAUCCAUGGCAAAUGAUCGAGUCUGAAAAUAUUUCAACUGGCAAA
This 385-nucleotide unclassified non-coding RNA is filed under the name Hevea brasiliensis (rubber tree). Lineage: Eukaryota; Viridiplantae; Streptophyta; Magnoliopsida; Malpighiales; Euphorbiaceae. The record is from RNAcentral.